Molecule: long non-coding RNA, 818 nt
Filed under: Mus musculus (house mouse)
Lineage: Eukaryota; Metazoa; Chordata; Mammalia; Rodentia; Muridae
Description: Ppp1r36 downstream neighbor
Source: RNAcentral
GUUUCUUUUGCAGGAUUCACGAUGACUGGAGAUUUAAUCAAGACCUUGUACGCACUGGGCAUGGGCUUUUCUGUUGAGCUGCAUCCUAGCCCUUUUAUUUUGAUUUGUGAUAAAAAUUGCAACAUCUUGAUCCAGGUUGGUUUCCAACUCACUAUGUAGUCCAGGGCUGGUCUUGAAUUGGGGCUUAUGGUCACCAUACCCAGUCAUGGAUUUUUAAACCUGGAAGUGACUCAUAAAAGAAUAGGUUUGUUGGUGCUUUGAUAUUCAAGUGAUACUAAUAAGAAAUCUUCACAACGUACUGUGGAUUAUAUUCAUACCAGAAGUCUAUGUUAUUCUGAAGUCAGUGUAAUUCAAUUAAAAUAAGCUGCAUUCAGUUCAACUCUCCAUCAUUGAGCCCCCAUGGGAGGUGCUUAGAAAGACAAAUAACAUUUGCUUUUUACAAUUGCAGAUCCUAUAGCCUAACAGGAAGGGAAGGACCCAAAGCUGUUCAUGUGGUUACCCUGUGAUAGACAUGGAUUUCUGUUACAAUCUCUGAGUAAACAGAGAAUGUGAUGGUUUGAAUGUGCUCUGCCCAGGGAGUAGUGCAAUGAGAAGGUGUGGCCCUGUUAGAGUAGGUGUGUCCUGUGGGCUUGGGCUUCAAGACCCUUGUCCUAGCUGCCUGGAAGUCAGUAUUCUGCUAUCAGCCUUCAGAUGAAGAUGUAGAAUUCUCAUCUCCUACUGCACCAUGCCUGCUUAGACACUGCCAUACUCUUGCCUUGAUGAUAAUGGACUGAACCUCUGAGCCUGUAAGCCAGCCCCAAUUAAAUGUUGUCCUGACG